GACGAACGCUGGCGGCGUGCUUAACACAUGCAAGUCGAACGGUGAAGCGCCUUCCUUUUUGGUGGGUGUGGAUGAGUGGCGAACGGGUGAGUAACACGUGAGUAACCUGCCCCCUUCUUCUGGAUAACCGCAUGAAAGUGUGGCUAAUACGGGAUAUUCUGGGUCUGUCGCAUGAUGGGUCUGGGAAAGAUAUUGUUUCGGUGGGGGAUGGGCUUGCGGCCUAUCAGCUUGUUGGUGGGGUGAUGGCCUACCAAGGCGGUGACGGGUAGCCGGCCUGAGAGGGUGGACGGUCACACUGGGACUGAGACACGGCCCAGACUCCUACGGGAGGCAGCAGUGGGGAAUAUUGCACAAUGGGCGCAAGCCUGAUGCAGCGACGCCGCGUGAGGGAUGGAGGCCUUCGGGUUGUGAACCUCUUUCGCCAGUGAAGCAGGCCUGCCUCGUUUGUGGGUGGGUUGACGGUAGCUGGAUAAGAAGCGCCGGCUAACUACGU
Molecule: ribosomal RNA, 493 nt
Filed under: uncultured bacterium
Lineage: Bacteria
Description: partial 16S ribosomal RNA
Rfam family: Bacterial small subunit ribosomal RNA
Source: RNAcentral